GUGGGGAAUAUUGGACAAUGGGCGAAAGCCUGAUCCAGCCAUGCCGCGUGUGUGAAGAAGGUCUUCGGAUUGUAAAGCACUUUAAGUUGGGAGGAAGGGCGUUUGGCUAAUAUCCAGGCGUUUUGACGUUACCAACAGAAUAAGCACCGGCUAACUUCGUGCCAGCAGCCGCGGUAAUACGAAGGGUGCAAGCGUUAAUCGGAAUUACUGGGCGUAAAGCGCGCGUAGGUGGUUCGUUAAGUUGGAUGUGAAAGCCCCGGGCUCAACCUGGGAACUGCAUCCAAAACUGGCGAGCUAGAGUACGGUAGAGGGUAGUGGAAUUUCCUGUGUAGCGGUGAAAUGCGUAGAUAUAGGAAGGAACACCAGUGGCGAAGGCGACUACCUGGACUGAUACUGACACUGAGGUGCGAAAGCGUGGGGAGCAAACAGGAUUAGAAACCCGGGUAGUCC
RNAcentral lists this ribosomal RNA (450 nucleotides) under uncultured bacterium. Its description in RNAcentral is "partial 16S ribosomal RNA". It matches the Rfam family "Bacterial small subunit ribosomal RNA", at positions 354 to 796 of the family's 1533-position model. The record is from RNAcentral.